AGUGAACGCUGGCGGUAGGCCUAACACAUGCAAGUCGAACGGCAGCACAGUAAGAGCUUGCUCUUACGGGUGGCGAGUGGCGAACGGGUGAGGAAUACAUCGGAAUCUACUUUUUCGUGGGGGAUAACGUAGGGAAACUUACGCUAAUACCGCAUACGACCUACGGGUGAAAGCAGGGGAUCUUCGGACCUUGCGCGAUUGAAUGAGCCGAUGUCGGAUUAGCUAGUUGGCGGGGUAAAGGCCCACCAAGGCGACGAUCCGUAGCUGGUCUGAGAGGAUGAUCAGCCACACUGGAACUGAGACACGGUCCAGACUCCUACGGGAGGCAGCAGUGGGGAAUAUUGGACAAUGGGCGGAAGCCUGAUCCAGCCAUACCGCGUGGGUGAAGAAGGCCUUCGGGUUGUAAAGCCCUUUUGUUGGGAAAGAAAAGCAGCAGGUUAAUACCCCGCUGUUCUGACGGUACCCAAAGAAUAAGCACCGGCUAACUUCGUG
Molecule: ribosomal RNA, 492 nt
Filed under: uncultured bacterium
Lineage: Bacteria
Description: partial 16S ribosomal RNA
Rfam family: Bacterial small subunit ribosomal RNA
Source: RNAcentral